AGCAAGGUUUCUUUUGGGCCCUGCUUGGAUAACAUUUUGUAAAAGUUGGAUGAAAAAAGACCAUGACAUUUGUCAGAAGAAGUUUCAGUGUUCCUGAACAAGCUCAGAACAACCAGCUCAGAGGAGAAAGCCUGUGCUGUGGAGAUCAGAGUGGAGACAAAUCCCCAUUGUGGUGGCCUGUGGUGAAUUGGAUGAAAUCCCUCCAGGAGUUCCUGUGUCUCCUUAGCAGGUGAAGAGGGAGAAUUUGUGAAUAACACCCAGUGAAUUAAACACUUCCCCUGUAGCUCCAAUUGUGCUUCCCCAGUGGCCAAACAUGGCAGGUGUCUUCCCAGGACACGAAUUGAUCCAGAACAAGGAAUACUGAUGUCUGCCUUGAUCCACCACCACGCUUGUUUCAACAGCAUCCAAUUUACUCGAUUCAGAGGUAGCUGUGAGAUGUUAUGGGACCUUCUCUGGGAAGUAGGGAAGUAUCCAGACACUUCAGUGCUGGGUGAUUGACUCCUGCUUGGAUGUCAUCAGGAUGCCCCACCUUCCUUGCUGCUCAAGAAACAUGGAAUAUUAAACCCUAAUACCUCAAUACAGUAAUAAAGAUAUCACACCAGAAGUGUUGCUAUGGGGACUGAGAUAAGGGCAGUCAGAGACAUCCUGGAAAUGUCAAAAUGCAGAGGAAGCCAGAGCCAGAGAAGGGCAGGAUCUGUAGUGUAGUGCCGCAAAGCUGACCCUGGUGCAGCUCCCUAAAUGGUUUCAGGUUUGUGCUGAGCUGAUGCACUGUCACUGCAGCCUGAUGGUUCCCAGGGAGCUGUAAUUUCAGGACAGCAAGUGCCAUUGAGUCUCCUUCCCCCAGACAUAGGCAGGGGACAGCGAAAACAGUUUCUUCCUCCUCUUCCCCCAUGUCAGAGCAUGGACAGAGAGACUUGAGCAAGUGAGACCAGACAUUUAAACUGGUGUGUUAAUUCACUGGAGAAGAGGAGGCUCAGGGGGAACCUUAUCACUCUCUACAACUACCUGAAAGGUGGUUGUAGCCAGGUGGGGGUUGUUGUCUUCUCCAGGCAACCAGUGACAGGAUGAGAGGUCACAGCCUCAAGUCUGGAGUCCUCAAGCUGUACUAGGGGAAGUUUAGGCUACAUAUUAGAAAAAAAUUCAUCACUGAAAGAGUGGUUCAGCAUUGGAAUGGGCUGUUCAGGGAGGUGGUUGAAUCACUGUCCCUGGAGGUGUUAAAAACAAAGACUGGAUGAGGCACUCAGUGCUAUAGUUUAGCUGACAAUGUAAUGUUAGGUCACAAGCUGGACUAGAUGAUCUAAAGGUAUUUUCCAACCUAGUUUAAUCGGUGAUUCAAGGUGUCUGUUAAUUUUAAGAGCAGGCAGUGUGGUCUGGGUUGAAUUUUCCUCUCUUGCAUCCCCUGUCACAACAUCCUGGGAGCACGUUGGACUGAGAGAAGCUCCCUGUAUCUGCAGGGGUAACUGAGAUCUCUGGAAAGGCACAAGUUUUCUUGAGGUCUGAACUCAAACUUUUGAGCACUUGGCACCUUCAGAAGUCACAGCUGGUGCCAGGUGCCAGGUGAGAGAGAUCAGAGGGCUUUGGGACAGGAUUUCCCUUCUUUGCUCACUUCCCUUCUGUGCCUGUUCCAGGUCAGCUGCGGGAUCAUC
RNAcentral lists this long non-coding RNA (1646 nucleotides) under Corvus moneduloides (New Caledonian crow). Its description in RNAcentral is "lncRNA (ENSCMUG00000019807.1)". Lineage: Eukaryota; Metazoa; Chordata; Aves; Passeriformes; Corvidae. The record is from RNAcentral.